Equus caballus (horse) is the source of this 75-nucleotide small nucleolar RNA. The record is from Ensembl. Lineage: Eukaryota; Metazoa; Chordata; Mammalia; Perissodactyla; Equidae.
UGGAUCAAUGAUGAUGACUGGUGAUGUAUUAGUCACAUGCAAUGAGUACUACGUGUCUGGAACUCUGAGGCCCAA